This 263-nucleotide non-coding RNA is filed under the name Mitsuokella multacida. RNAcentral describes it as "T-box sequence". It matches the Rfam family "T-box leader". Rfam says of the family: Uncharged tRNA acts as the effector for transcription antitermination of genes in the T-box leader family. T-boxes are found upstream of many aminoacyl-tRNA synthetase genes and some amino acid biosynthetic genes usually in Gram-positive bacteria. The record is from RNAcentral. Lineage: Bacteria; Bacillati; Bacillota; Negativicutes; Selenomonadales; Selenomonadaceae.
ACACAGCCGAAGACAGGAAAGAGUACACUUCCGUCGCUGAUGCAUAGCGAGCCGGGUAUGGUGAAAGCCGGUGAUGAGCAGGAAGUCGAAAAUCAUCCUCGAGGCAUGGCGCUGAACCCAAAGUAAGCGGCCACGGAUGCUCCCCGUUACAGGAGCCGCGUAUGAUGGUACGUCGUGAACCUUACGGAUGCCUGAGUACGUCAGAGCGUCGUGCUUUUGCACGGAACUUGGGUGGUAACGCGGAAAUCCAAUCCGUCCCUUUC